GAGAUGCUAGUUAAACUAUAACACUGCCUUGUCAAGGCUGAGUCGCGGGUUAAAACCCCGCCCAUCUUU
This 69-nucleotide transfer RNA is filed under the name Olisthops cyanomelas (herring cale). RNAcentral describes it as "tRNA-Asp". It matches the Rfam family "tRNA". Rfam says of the family: Transfer RNA (tRNA) molecules are approximately 80 nucleotides in length. Their secondary structure includes four short double-helical elements and three loops (D, anti-codon, and T loops). The record is from RNAcentral. Lineage: Eukaryota; Metazoa; Chordata; Actinopteri; Labriformes; Odacidae.